RNAcentral lists this long non-coding RNA (20004 nucleotides) under Trifolium pratense (red clover). RNAcentral's name for it is "long non-coding RNA (TPRA_LNC012274)". Lineage: Eukaryota; Viridiplantae; Streptophyta; Magnoliopsida; Fabales; Fabaceae. The record is from RNAcentral.
UGAGAUAUAACAGUCAAUCAACACAAUUAUUAUGCAGAGAAAGGUUAAAACUUUGCCCCUUUGGCAUAAGCAAAUUAAAAAGGCAACCAAGCUUUAACAGAAAAUUGAUAAGGGUAGAAGAAAUGAAAUAUGAGAUUAUUACAUGUUUCUAUUUGACAUUGUACAGAAGAAACAAGAAUGGAUCUCUGAAAUGUGAACCAGUUCUUUAAAACUUUUAUAGGUUAGUUCUAAACUAGGGUCCAUACUCCAGAGUCCAGACAUCAUUUGACAUCUAAGAAUUUAUUAAACUAAAGAGAGCAUGUCUUGCAAAAUAGCAUAAAGGGCUCAUAAAUCAAUGUUUAAAUUACAUCAAAACGCAAACCACUGUGACAUCUUUUUGACUACUUGGUUACAGUUUGAUCUCCAAAUUUCCUCUGAUCUGGUUUAGUGAAUGGAUCCUGGAAAGUACAAUAAAAGAUGUAGAUUACAAUUACCUAACAAUAUUUAACUCUUAAAAUAACACAGCCAAAUGAUAGUGGAUAAGAGAAACGUAACUCAACCUCAAAACAUCAGUUAUAAACCAUAAACAUUUGAAAAUUUUAAUUUUUACAAAAGGAUUUAACUUGGAAUUUGGUUUUCAAUAGUUUAUUAGUCUUGUUCUGUCUAUCUAGGCAACAUCACAUAGCAGAAUAACUGUAAUUGUUGGUGUUACUGCAAAAUGGAUGGUCCUUGCAUUGGACCUUACUAACCAAGCUAGCAAACACUUUCGAAAGAAAAUGAUACAAUUGAACAGCAUAAAAUAAAAUCAAGAACUAAAUCAAACAAGGUUCUCUUGUAUGGUCUUAAUUCCUAUGUUACUGUCUUCGAAGAAUCCAAAUAUGCAUCCAUUAAGGGAGCAAAUUACUCCAUCCCUUUCAAAAUUGUAAAGCUAUGUAAUGUGAAUACUUCAGCUAAUUAAAGACAUUAAUCAAUGUCGUGCAAGCACUUGAUUUAUCAAUAAAAAUAUAUUAUAACAGCCUAAAGUUGGAGCAGACAGAUGAAUUAUCCAUAAAUCCAUAAGGCAGAAGCAAUGAUAAUCAACAAGACCUAAAAUUUCAGUUUAAAGAGUUUAAAGACUAUGGAUUGACUGUGUAAAACUAUGUUACACCGUUAUUUUGAUGGAAAUUCAUCAUCUUAUCAUGUAAGGGCUGGAAUGAUGAGCAUUCACAUGCAAUGUAGUCAGGUUUGAGAUCCUACGUAGGAUCGGUAGGCUGGUUGAGAAUCAUAAGAUCGGGAUCGUAGCUCGAUUCGUAAGAUCGUACUUAAGGGUAAAAUUGUAACUUCACAUAUAUACAUAUACACAUAAACACAAAAAAAAUAUAAUACAUGAACAAAAUAAACUUAAUUAAUUAAUAUUUCAUAGACAUCAUUCCAAAUGUUCACAAGUUCAUAACAGAAGGUAGCAACAGUAGGGUUACAAAAAAAAAAUGAAAACAGAGGGUUGAAACUUGAGAGUGAAAGAGAUGAGUUCAGAAGGUUUCAGUGAGGACAGAGGUUUGGGUGAAAGAGAUGGUUGAAAGUGAGAGAGGUGAGAACGAAAGUGAGAGAGGAGUGAGAACAAACAUACACUAACCUCCGGCAAGGUUCACGACGGCGACGGCGCCGUCUAGAGCUCAAGUCAAAAAAGCCUCUAGGAUCGUAAGAACCUAUGACCCAGUGCGAGAACCUGACUACAGACUGGUCAAAAAAAGAACCUCCAUGGGCUCUAAGCUCGUUUGGCCUUCACGAACUCGUAGGAUCGUAAGAACCUACGACCCGGUGCGAGAACCUGACUACAUUGUUCACAUGCAUCAACCAAACGUGGAAUUUGCAUUAUCGUUUCCGUGAAAAGGCUAGAGCACUAUCACAGUCAGUCAGUCACAGAGAAUGGUUGGUUAGUAUCAAUUCUUAUCAUGGCGCUCACUUGGUUUUUCUCCAAUACAUAUUCCUUUGGCUUUAGUUUAAACUCAUUGUAUAUUAACAAAAUUCUAGGAUACUGCAAGCUUCUUUGGACACUCUUUUCACUUUGUUUUCCUUUGAUCUUAUUGUAGCUCUUGUGUUUGACAGAAUUUAAAUUUAGUGUUUGACAGGUAGCUAUCAGAAGUGUUGGUGCUAUAGAGCUCAUAAACAGUGUUGUUCUGGUUGAUAGACAAUAUUAUCAAAAUCCAUUUUAUGGUCACUUACUUUUGUCUUGUACUCAUAUCAGCAGAGCUUACAAUACUAUAAUAGUGUCCUGAAUCUUUAAGGAUUUUACGGAAUACCAAUGACCAAAGAUUUCCCCAGUUCCACUUUUCUAUAGAUAAAUUUGAAUGAUCCCUAUCUUCGUGAAAUAUUAUCACUGAAUAAUUAUUGUGUUGCUAGGCCAUCUUGUAUAAUCAAGAUUAAGAACUAAACCAACAUUGGACUCAAGUAGUUAAUGAGCUCCCCUAGGCCGAAUCGUUCGGGAGAACCCGAGUUCGAUUCCUAGUGGGAACAACUCUUGGCCAGGAUUUACUUACCGCGCGGCCGAACUCUGGAUUACCAGGGUCCCCUUCCCCUGGGGAGAAAUGGUUCCCUUGUAUAAUUUUCCAAUUUUACUCUCUUCUAAGAAUCAUAAUCCUAGUAUAUAAUCCAUUAAGAUUAAGAUUUAAGGGAGUAAAUUACUCAUUCCCUUACAAAAUAUUAAAGCUAUGUUAAUACUUCGAUUAGGACAUUAAUCAACUUCGUGUAACCACUUAAUUAAUACACAUUUCAAAGAGAAUUAGGGAACAAUCAAACAAAUGAAUUUGCAAACAACCCAAUCAACAUGAUCUCCAAAUAACAACGCAAAAAGAUCAUUAAAUUCAACCCACCAUAACCCCAAAUGAAAUUGAUUAAAUCAUGAAUCAGCAAUUAAAUCCAUAAAAAUGAAUGAUUUUCAACAAAUCUAAAACAGAGUGAAAGAAGAAAGAGAUAGGAAGGGAAUUACGUUCUUGACCAAUAUGAAGUUGGCGACGGCGACGGUGGCCACUACACCAGCGAUGAUAGACGUAGGACCUGUAAGGAGACUCCACUUCCGAUAAAUCAUUUUUCUUCUUCUUCUUCUUCUUCUUCUUCUUCUUCUUCCCAAAUUGAAUGAGAGGAACAAUAAGCACAAUUUUCGAUUUUUAGAAUAGAGUACUUCAAUUUUCUAUGUCAUAUAUCUUUUUCCCCAAAAUAAUAUUUUUAUUUUGUCAAAAAAAUAAAAUAAUAUUUUUUUAUCAUCUUUAAGCAAUUUUUACUUUUAAAAAAAUAAAUAAAUUACAUUUCUCUCCUUGAGAGAUGUUUAAAAUACACUACUCUCCCCUCUUAUGUUAAAAUAUAUAUUCUCCUCCCAUCUUAAGUAAAUUAUAAUCUCAUUUCUCUUCUUUGAAAGAUGUUUAAAUUACACUACCCUCCCCUCUUAUGUUAAAAUAUACACUCCUCUCUCCGCUUAUACAAAUUAUAAUUUUUUUUUUUAAGCAAAUGGCGUGCAGAGGGGGAACUCUAUGCAACGACCUAAAUAUAUUAAAAUGAAAAUAAAAGAUAAUACAUAAAAUCGGGGGGACAAAAACUAAAACUCAGUCAAACCACAUAGUCAGUCCUAAACGGGUAUACAGAUAAUCAAAAUACAAACAAAAGUGGCCAUUAAAACAAAAGCAAAUGCACUUUCAUCACAAAUACAAUCCAGCGAACCCGCGUGCGGAUGCGAAACCAAAUAGCAAAAAAGAAGUGGUGAGUGUGCAUUUACAACUUAAAAAGGCGAAUGAGCGACCGCCAACACAGACCAAUCACGUGCCACAACUCCCUGCCACUAACGACAGUAAGCAAGAGGCCCUUUCAAGCCAAACAGCGAUUGAAAAGAAACUUGAAUUUCAUUCCCUUAUCCUUUUAUAUUAAAAUCUACAUUUCUCACAUUUAAUAAAACUUCAUUUUAAUGUAAUCAAACUUUUAAUGCAUAUAUUUUAAUUACUAUUUUUUGCUCGCAUACAUCAUUAACAUAUAAUGUUAAAUGUUGUUAUAAAUUAUGAAACCGUACAAAAUAAAAUAAAAAUCUCGGAUAAAUUACUAAAGUCGAUUAAAACACAAUUUUAUAACAACAAUUUUUUAAUCGAAUUUAGUAAUUUAUUUGAGAUUUUUAUUUAUUUUGUAUAAUUUCAUAAUUUAUAACAACAUUUAACAUUAUAUAUUAAUGAUGUGGGCAAAAAAUAAUAAUUAAUAUAUAUGCAGAAGUUUGAUUACAUUAAAAUGAAGUUUUAUUAAAUGUGAGAAUGUAGGUUUUAAUAUAAGGGGGAUAAUGAAAUUCACGAUUCUUUUCAAGCGAGGGGAGUGUGAUUAUAAUUUGUAUAAGAGGGGAGGUGAGUGUAUAUUUUAACAAUAUAAGGGGAGGAUAUUGUAAUUUAUGCAUCUUUCAAGGGAGGAGAGUGAGAUUAUAAUUUGCAUAAGAGGGGAGGGGAGUGUGUAUUUUUUUUUGUUUUUGUUUUUCCCCACUAGUUGAAUCUGGUUCGAGGGUCNNNNNNNNNNNNNNNNNNNNNNNNNNNNNNNNNNNNNNNNNNNNNNNNNNNNNNNNNNNNNNNNNNNNNNNNNNNNNNNNNNNNNNNNNNNNNNNNNNNNNNNNNNNNNNNNNNNNNNNNNNNNNNNNNNNNNNNNNNNNNNNNNNNNNNNNNNNNNNNNNNNNNNACCGCGGUCCUCUCUACCAAGUUCAGCGCCAAUCACCACUGAACCAACUAACGAUUGGUAGGGGAGCGUAUAUUUUAACAUAAGAGAAUAGUAUAUUAUAUUUUAAGUAUCUCUCGGGAGAGGGGAAUUCAAUUUACUCUAAAAAAACUUUAAGCAAUUUUUCUUUGGAAUAGAAAUGGCUAAAACCCAAAGAAGAAAAUUAUAUAAUAAUCAAGACAACUCCAAUAAUAUUAGCCAUAAGAGAACAACUACUCACUCCAUUCUUAAUUAUAAGCAAAAGUUUUAUUUUUAGAUUUAUUGAAAUAGUAAUGUAAUCGGUCUACAUUAUAGUCCAAAUACAUAAAUUAUUCAAUGACUCUGAAAAAUUGACUUUUGCUUAUAAUUAAAAAUGGAGGAAUUAAUUUUAAGCAAUUUUAGUGGACAUUAAUUUUAAUCUUAAGAUAAAGAGUUUAAAGAUUAUAAGCAGACAAUGUAAUGAAAUUUUACACGGACAACCAAUCAAAAUCCAUGAAUUUGCCAUGUCAUAAAAAAAGUGGGGUUAAGUGGGCUGACAUGACGAAAAACAUUGUUGUGAUUAGUUAACAGUGUAAAAUUAGUUUACACUGUGAGAGCAUAUUCCUUCGUACUCCUUUUUCUCUAAGAUAAAUAUGUAGGGAAUUAAAAAAAAAAUGAUGAUAGAAAUAAAACACAAUGUAUAAAUGAUUAAUGAUUUGCAUUUUAUUAAUGGAUUUGUGUAACAUGUGCAAUAUUGCACAUGUUAAACUAAUAAAAAAUAGUAACUAUUUAAUGAAAAACAAUAAUUAUUUCAGUCAAAAUUAGAUGAAUAAAACUUGAUUUAAACCAACAAUUUAAUUAUCUCCAUGAGUACUAUUUAAGGAGAUAGUUUCUGAACAACUUUCCUUGUGACUCAUCCUCCGUUGGUGUGUCCCCGCCACUAUCUCAGGUAGCCUUAUCUCCGUUUAUCCACCGUAACCGUAAGAAUCUCCGAUAGCCAUACACGACUCUUUUUCUUUCAUUUUACUAACUUUUUUCUUGCAUUUCAGGAUGAUCCGUAACCGUAUUGAACUCGAAUAACUCCACCGUCUACAGCACCGUCAUUAUUGGUUAGUUAACUCUUCCAUUUCAUUUCUCUUAUCAAUUUUCAAACCCUAGAUUAAAUUACCGAUUUAAAUUGAUGAAUACUUUUGUUAGUUUCAUUUUUCUCUUCCAUGAACCCUAGUUCUCUUUAUGUUGUUCAAAUUAUUAUGAGAAUAAGACCUGAAAUCUUUAAUUAGAUGUGAAUAUGACUAAAUUUUGGAAUGUUGAAUUCCGUGUAUGGUUGGUUCUGCGGUGAGAAAAAUUGAUUUUGAGUUAAUUGAUUAUGUGAAGUUGAUUCUAGCUAAAAUUGAUUAGAAGGUAAUGUGAUUUAUGUUUGAAUACAUUCAUGUAAAUGUGAGUUGAACAAUAAAUUUGAGUGUUAAUUGAAAUUAGAAGCUACAAUUUCUAGCUUCAAGUAGAAUCAAUUAUGGAGCCAAAAUUAAUUCUAAUUGAGAGCAACCAAACAUGUUAAAAUCAAUUCUACCAAACGUACAUGUUUUCCUGAAUUUCCAAUUUUCAUUUUUGUUCGGUUAAAAAAACUUGAAAUUGAAUAUGAUUUGGGCAAACAAUCAUUUUGGUCCUUUAGGUGUAAUUCACUGUCAGAUUAGUCUCUGAAUGUAUUGAAAUUACAAAUGCAUCCCUAGCGUCUUUUUUGUUAGUAAUUAAUUUUAUGGACUAAAUUGACAAACAAAAAACACAUUUGAGGCCUAAAUUGACUAUAUAAAAAUAGAUUUGAGGACAAAAAUGACUAAUAAACAAGACAGUUGUGGAUGUGUUUGCAAUUUCGAUACACUCAAGACCAAUAUAACGAGUUACACUUGUAGGGAUCAAAAUGGUUGUUUGUUCAAUAUGACUUUUGUUGAACUAGAGUUAAAAUUAAGUUUUCCCCAAAAGUUUAGGAUAUACCUUAUUUUCCUACAUGUUAAAAUCAAAUUUGAAGGUUAAGAAGUAGGGAUAGUACUAAUAAUAUGUGUUGAUUAAUUUACUUCGAUUGAAAUAAGAACUACUCAUAUAUAUGUAUGUGUAUAUAUAUAAGCUACUAGAUUUAGUUAAACUUUUAUUAUUUCCUUUUCUUUCCUUAAUGGAGCACAGGGGGCUAAGAACUUUGUGCUGAAUUGCUGUGAGAAGUGAAGAUCAAGAGAAAUCCCAAGGUCGUUGGAGGUUUGCGUGCAUAAGCAGUUAGGGAGGGAACCUAUGGUUUCCUUUCGCGUGUUAGCAUAUAGCUUCCUUUCUUACUUAAUAGUUGCGUUGUUGUUUGAUGUUACUGGUUGGAAGAGUCUAUUUUUGAACAUGCUCGUAAUGUGCUUGGUGCGUUCUGGGUUUCACCCUAAAAGGCAAUUGAAGUUGAAAAUGAAGUUCACUUUUGAAAAGAGGAAGAACACAAAUGGAGAAGGAGAUAAUGAUAAUGAUGAUGACCAUGUCAACCUACAUCGUAGAGCAGCUGGUACACCCGAGCAGGCUGAUUGACUUCUUGAUCACUGCUACUGAUAAUGUUUUGCUUCUUUUGACUGCAUGAGAGGUAUCUUUUUGGGAUGGGGGUUAUAUUUUGAUGUACAUAUUUUGGAUUAGGCCUCAGGCAUUUUCUCUUAAUUGUAUGCAUUUAUCUCUUAUGAUUCACAUUGCACAGUGGAAGCAUCUGUGGGUACUCUAAACUCCUUUAAACACCGAUAAUAAAAAUCUUUUGAUCAAUGCUUAUAAACUUCCUCUGACUUUCAAAAUUUCUUGAUGAAUGAGUGUUGUCUAAAUUUUGAGAAAUUUCUUGUAUUGUAAAUUUGUGAAAUGUCUGCUGGCAGUAUUUGUGGAGGUAAUUGAGUUGAUUUUCAAUGUAGUUCUGUUUUAAACGUUUUAUGAGUCAAAUUUGUAAUUUUUUUGACGUCCAAUUUUUAGAUAUUGAUUAUAUGUCAAUUUUUUUGGUUAACUUAUAUCAAGUAGUUUAAAUAAAAGUGCAAGAGUGACUGAAAGAAGAAUUCAAAGAAAAGGAAUAAAGGGAUUUAUGGGUCUAAGCGUUUGCUUCAUCCAAUGUUCAUCUCUCCAAUGUGGCUGAAGUAUUGCCCUCAUAUUUGGGGUUAUUAUCUAAGAAUGGAGGGGGAGGUUUUAAUGUGAAAAUUGAAGCAGGGAUUUUAGCUUAUUGUGUUGAUGUUUCUUUUUAGUUUGAAUAAUUUAGUUUGUUUUUGUGGUUGGAUGCAUUAUUGAUGAAAUUAAUUAACCUUGAUGUUUUUUGUUUUAUGUAGUAUGAGUAUAAAGAUUGAGUAAUAGAAUACUAACUAGUACAUGUACCAAAGAAAAAAAAAAAGAAUACUAACUAGUACUCCCUUGAUGUACUCCCUCCGUCCCAUAAUAUAUGCAAAAAAAAAAUUUCACUUAUUAAGAAAAGUAAAAUAUAAUAAUUUCAAGGUUGACUUUUUGUGUGUUUGUUGAAAUAAGUUUCAUGGGAAGAUGUAAAAAUAGUUUUUAUUGGUUAUUGAUUAUGGGGAAAAGAAGAGAGAGAGUAAAUUAAAUAAAAGUUUAUCUUGAAAAUAAUAAAAGUUAGUUUUUUUUGCUUAUAAUUUGGGACAUGAAAAAAUGAUUUUUUUUGCUUAUAAUAUGGGACGGAGAGAGUAUACUUUUGAGUAUUUUUAAUCUUUUGUUGACUACCUGAUACUUACGUUUUACUACUUGAUACAUCGCUUGAUACAUUUUAUUUCAUCACAUACAAAAAUGAUUAGACACACUCCCUUGAUGUCAUCGCUUUCUUCUAGAAUCAAAUAAUAGAUGCCCCUCCAUAAAAGACAGAUAGGAUACCAUUACUGUAAUUAAACAACGUACUUAGAUGCCGAUUUUAAUCUUGGCCACACAUUUAAGAUCCAAAAGUUCCAAUUGUGUUGUACAAAUUUUAGUCAUAUUACAUUUCGACCAUACAUUUUAAAUCAGAUAGUAGUCUAGAUUAAUCAUUGUGUCAUGCAGUAUGCGUGUAAUUUAGAUCUAUAAAAGACUGUCUCCUAUGAAUGACUUAAAAUUUUGAAUACUACUAUUUCAUGGUGCCUUUAAAUUAUGCUUUCCACUAACUCCCACCUAACAGAACACCCAUUUGAAUUUUGAACAAAAAAACAAACAGAACACCCAAGUUGAUUAUUCUAAGUUAAUCAACCAAUGCCUACGCUUUAUAUAAAAUCUCACCAUUUUCCCCCAGACUCAAAUAACACUGACCAUUACAAAUUUGCUGCUUCAACCAGAAACACAAUACAAUAUACCAUUGCCGGUUUGCCGCCCUAACAGUCGACCUCUUUGGCAUUGACGCCUUUGAUGUUGAUGCCGAAUUCAAUAUCCCUCCAUAUGUUUUCUUUCCUUCACCAACCAUUUGUCUUGUCCUUUGCCUUUUAUGUUCCUCAACUAGACCAAGAGGUUCAAUGCGAGUUUAGAGACCUCAUUGAACCAGUUAACAUCCCCGGUUCAACCCCAAUUCAUGACAAGGACUUGUACCCGGUUCAAGAUCGAAAGGACGAUGCUUAUAAAUGAAUCCUCUACCACGCCAAGUGAUACAAGUUGGCUGAUGGUAUCAUAGAGAAUAGCUUCUUAGAACUUGAACCAAAUGUUAUUAAGUUGUUGCAAAACAAUGAACUAGGUUGACCACCAGUUUAUCCAGUUGGACCGUUUGUGAAAGAAGAUUCUACUCGAAAUAGGGUGGAUGGUGUUGAAGUUGAACAAUCUUUAAAAUGGUUAGAUGAGCAGCCACAAGCCCACAAGGUGGUGUGAUAUUUGUGUGUUUCGGUAGCGGUGGGCAAGGUUUUAAAUUGCGGUCGGCAUCCGUAAUUGCGGCCGCAGUAUUGCUGAUGCGGUAGCCACCACAACCGCAUCACGCCGCAAUUGCGGUGUGAUCUUAAUUCACGUGUACGGCCGUAUCGUAACCGCAUCAGAAGCCGCAUCAGAUGUUUUCGGCGAUGUUCGUUCAAAUUUUCUCACAAAAAAAUAAAAUUUAUGAACUUCAAAUCCUAAUUUGUGUCAAAUUAAUGAAAAAUCUUACUUUUAACAAUCUAUCAACCGGGUAUUUUCAAUACAUUAAAAUUAUUGUUUAUGGAAUAAACUAAGACUAUGUAAUGGUGGAUAAAUAGCGUAGUUACAUACUAGUUUCAUUUUAUAUAGCUUGUGAAAUUUCAAAAUGAUUUCACGCCGCAACAAUCGCAUUGCCGUUGCAGCAACCGCAAUGACUGCAUUCGCAACAACUGCAACCGCAUCCACGACCGCAACCUCAAUUUAAAACCUUGGCGGUGGGACUCUUUCAAGUGUUCAAAUUAAUGAACUUGCCUUUGGUUUAGAGAUGAGUGAUCAAAGAUUCUUAUGGGUUGUAAGGUGUCCAAAAGACAAAGUUGCAAAUGUUUCUAACUUCAUUGCUGAUAGUAAUGUCGAUCCUAUUGAUUUCUUACCAAAUGUUUUGUAGAAAGGACUAAAGAGAAGGGUUUAAUGGUUCCAUAUUGGGCUCCCCAAGCAAAGAUAUUGAGCCAUGGUUCGACCGGCGAAUUUUUGACUCAUUGUGGUUGGAACUCGGUGCUCGAGAGUGUUGUAAAUGGGGUGCUUUUGGUUGCAUAGCCGCUUUAUACGGAGCAAAAGAUGAAUGCUGUUUUGGUUAGUGAAGAGGUUAAAGUAGCUUCGAGGCCAAAGGUUGGAGAAUGGGUUGAUUGAAAGGCAAGAAAUUGCAAAUGUUGUGAAGAUUUUAAUGGAAGGUGAGGAAGGGAAAAAACUUGGAAAUAGAAUGAUCGAUCUCAAGGAGGCAGCUUCCAUAGCUCUAAAGGAAAAUGGGUCUUCAAUUAAGCAAAUACGUGAGUUAGCUCUUAAGUGGAAAGGCACAUGAACUGUAUCAAAUUGAAGUUGCUUUAGAUUUCUUGUAUAUAAUUGCUUUUCUUAAUUGAAAUAUUACGUAUUAAUUAACGGUAUUGCAUUACUAUGUUGGAGAUAAUUAAGGGGUAGGGGUNNNNNNNNNNNNNNNNNNNNNNNNNNNNNNNNNNNNNNNNNNNNNNNUAGGGGUAAAAUAUAUUAAUAUAUAAGAUGAAAUAAAUUAUCACUCUAAACUAUCCUUUUUUCUUUAAUUUAAUCUUUAAGCUAUAUAAAUGUAAGGUCAAAUAUACUUUUAAUCUAUCUAGAAAGUUAAUUGUUCUGGAAAACUUUCAAAUGCCCUUAUUUAAGCUGCUGCUGUCCAAAAGUAAGGACAAUUGGUGUCCAAAAUUUUUGUAACGAACUAAAACUACACAUUCAACCAAGCCACAUGAGCCAAUUGGGGAAUUGUGAGUGGAAAAAUGCUUUUUCAAUCUACCAUUUGCUAACAUAACCAAGUCGCAUGAGCCAUUUAUUUCAUUUUGAAUGGAAAAAUGUUUUUUUUAACUAAGUCAUCUAAGCCACUAACAUAUCCCACAUUUUCCCUCUCAUUGUGAAAUUCAAAUUUUAAAAUCAAAUGUUAAAAUUCAAUGCUUUAUUAUCUUCUCUCACCAACAUAAAUCAGAAACAAUUGAAUCUCUCAAUUUUCUUAUUCUCUCACAAAUUUCUCUCACAUUCAUCAUUUUAUUUAUGCCUUUUUUUUUUCUACUACUUUUUUAACUACCGCGCUACUUUCUUCUUAUUAUUCAAUAUUGUUCUUCAUGUUUCAAUGUUUUAUGUUUUGUUAAUUUUUUUCUAUUUUUCAAAAGAUGACAAAAUAGAAAAUCAUACUAACAAUCUAAUGUCUUUCUUGUAGAAUGAAUACCAGAUUUGAGUUAAAAAAUAGUGGCAUAUUUUGAAGAAACAAGUACACUGAAAAAUCAAAUACAUACCAAGAAAGAAAUUCACACGAUGGUUGGAAGAAAUAUAUGCUUAUUUUGAAGAAAGUAAGUGUAAAGAGAAGUACUGAUAAAAUUAUUUUAUUUACAUUAUUAUUAUUAUUAUUAUUAAAUAAGAAAUAAAUAAAUAUGUGAGACUUCACAAAUUUGAUAACGGUUAUUGUUGAAUCAUAAAAACAAAAAUGGUUUGUUUUUUGUUGUUAUAAUUGUAGUAUGGUCUUAUUAUUUCAAAAAUUCAAGUAACAAAAACCCAAAACUAUAAAAAAUAUUAAUGAUUAAAAGAAAAGUAUUUUUCUAUCCGUUUUCUAGAUCCAGAAAAAGAUAAAGUGCUCUAUUUUUUCUUUUUUUAUCUUCCACCAACUUAUUUUCUUCGCAAAGUUUUGAUAAUUUUUAAUUUUUUACGGAACAAAAAAAUGCAAGACAAUGAGAUGUGAGGAAAUAGAGACCCAAAAAAAAAAUUGUCUCGAAUAAAAAAUUCAAAAUAAUUAUCAUAUGUGAGACAAAUUCUUAUUAAUAAAAAUUUGAAAAAAUGAUUUUACACAGGAUAAAUUUUAACUGAUAUAUAAAUAUGUUCCAUGUAAUUGUUUCUUUCAAUUUAAAUAUUUAUAAUUGCAACCAAUUUUGAUUACCAAAUUAUAACUUAAAAAAAUAUCGUUGUAACAUUACGACCCGUGCGAUAACACUGGUCUAUUACUAGUUCUUAUAAAACUAUGAUGUUUUAAGUUAUUCUCUAUUAAAUUUUAAUAGUAUAUUUAGUCCUAUAUAAUAUUGCAAUUUAUAAAAAUAGUUUUCAUUUUAAAUUUUUUAAGCAAAUGGGGAGCAAAUGGUGAACUAACGACAAUACCUUAAAUAUAUAUAAAUAAAUACAAACAAUAACAAAAAGUGAAAGAGAACAUAGAUCAAAAUUUUCUUCAACAAGAAAAGUAAAAGAGUCGGGAGACUAAAGUCAAACCCAAAAAAGAGAAAAAAGCAACAACAUUAAUAAAAAGCUUAUCUUCCAUCAGUCGAUAUCUGUCGAUAGGUUUCCAUAAUUGCAAGAUUUUUUCGCACAAGUCCUUAGAGGAUAAAAAGCUUCUUCUGAAAUUUGGAUUAAAAGAGAGUUGCCUUUCAAACAAGCUUUUGAAGCUGAAUUAAAGAGAAAUCAACUUUGUUGAGGAGAGCAUGAGCAAAACUGCGAUUACAGAGAAAUCAACUUUGUUAAUGGUAAGAGUCUUGAUCCCCUUAAAUAUGUGGUAAGGAAUUUGAUUUCUAGCUCAUAUGAAGAAAAUUUGUCGGUAAGAGAGAACUUACCUUGUAUACCCCAUAUGUUCCUCGAUCGAGAUUAGUUAUCGCUAACUACAUGAAAACUUUAUAUAAAUAAAAGGAUUACACACGGAGUAAUAGUAUAGGAUUAAAUUGAUAGUUUAUAACCAAUUUUUUUUUUUUGGUUAAGAGUUUAUAACCAAUUUUAUUUGACUAAUAUAAGCAAAUAUUUUGCUGAAUAUAACAAUCACUUAUUUGUUCAAUUAUUUGGUGUUCCAUUAUUCAGCUUGCUAGAAUGAAUAUCUCAAUUUAUUUCCUUUCAUGUUUGAAAGUUCUCACCCUUAAUCUAAGAGUUUAAAGAACAUGCACUGUAAUUUACAUCGACAAUUAAUGAGAAUGGUUCAACCUUUCAUUUAUAUUAAAAAAGUGGAGUACGGUGAGAUGAUAUGACGAAAAAUAUGAUCGUAGUUAAUUAACCGUAUAAUUUACACCGUCAUUUCUCUCUAUAUCUAAUUCGUUUCUUUGCAUCAUGCAAGAGGAUAUUUUUCUUUACUACUAGUAUUGCCUUACACCGCAUCAUCGUUUCUUUCGAUAAAUCCAUUGUCAUUUGCAACACAUUACUAUUUGUUUUCUUUUGCUCUAGAUAAAUGAGGUGAACACAUAUCUUCGUGCAUGUAUGACAACUCUCUAGAGUGUGGAGUCGUACAAUAAUUGUUCUGUUCAAUUAUUUAUGGUUAUAUUUAGUCCCUUAAGUUUAUUUUAGGUUUUAAUUUGGUCUCUUAUGUUUAAAAAGUUUUAAGUUGGUUUCUUAUGUUAUUGAUUUCAACAUAAGUUGAUCAUUUUCGUUAAAUUUUAAGUUAAUUUUUCUAACUUUUUGUUAAAUUUUGAGUUAAUUUCUUCUAAAACUUUCACAUAGUACUCUACUAAGUGGUCCACGUACGCAAAUUCAUUAGAUAAGUCGACGAUUUAAAUAAAAUUUUUACGAAAAUGACCAAAUUGAAACUUUUUAAACAUAAGGGACCAAAUUAAAACAUAAAAUAAACAUAAGGACCAAAUAUGCAAUUAAGUCAUUAUUUAUUUGCUUACAAAUCAAACACCUAUUUAUCAUUUUUAAAUCUGAAUGAAAUUGUCCACAAGUAUAACUCAAUCAGGGACGGAUCUAGAAAUUAAUCACACGGGGGGUCGAAUUUCUUUUUUAACAAUAAAUAAUAGAGUUAAAUAUAUUUUUUAUCCUUAUAAAAUAACGAAUUUUUAUGUCUAGUCCUAUUAAAUUUUAACUGAAAAUAUCCUUUAAAAUAUUGUAGUUUGGUNNNNNNNNNNNNNNNNNNNNNNNNAAUUUUUUGAAGGACAAACUUAAAAACUCAUAAUUUUAUAAAGACUAAAAAUAUAUUUAACUCAAAAUUAUUAAAUAAAAUCACAAUAAUUUAUUUACAAGCACCUAAAACAAAAUUGGAUAAAUUAAGAGGUGUCAUUAGCAACUAUAUGCAUGUGGGAGGGGGGGGUUGAAGCCCCUGCUUGCCCCCCCUUCAGUCCGUCCCUGAACUCAAUUGAUAGGAAUAUUAUAUUUAAUAUAUAGGUUAGAGUUCGAACUCAAAAUCUCUCACUUAUUCAUCUCUCACUUAUUCAUCUCAAGAGGUGAAUUUUUAACGGGCGGAUAACUUACCAAAAAAAAAAUGUGAAUGUUUCAUAUCAUAUUUAUAGAUAGUCUCUUGGUCUGAAACAGCCCACGCCUUCACUCUUACCUCCUUUACUCCUUUCAUCAAUUCUCUCACCAACAAGCUGUGUCCAUCACAACUAAUACUAGUAUAGUACUAUAUGGCCAAACUCAAAUAGCAACGUACCUUUGCACCAACCUAAAACAAAGCAUAUAAAUUUCGAUAUCCUUCACUUCAUAUUAUCAUCAUCAAUUCAAUCUUCAAUAUGGAACACCAACAAUCCCUCACCACCCCAAACCAAGAGCUACUACCACCUCUAGUAGCAAUGUUUCCAACACCAGGAAUUGGACAUCUCAUUCCAAUGAUCGAAUUCGCCAAGCGACUCAACAUCCGCCACAACCUCCUCGUCACCUUCAUCAUUCCCAUCGACGGUCCACCCUCGAAGGCUCAAACCACCGUCCUCGCCUCCCUACCAUCCGGCAUUUCACACAUAUUCCUCCCUCCUGUUACCCUCUCCGACUUCCCACCUGACACCAAACCCGAAUCACUCAUGUCAAUCACCAUCUUUCGUUCUCUCCCUUCUCUCCAUCAAACUCUCAUCUCUCUCAUGACCUCCCACCGUCUCUCCGCCCUUCUCGUUGACCUCUUUAGUACAGACGCUUUUGACAUUGGUGUCGAACUCAACAUCCCUUCAUACCUCUACAUCCCUACUACUGCUAAUAACUUGUGCUUUGCCUUAUAUUUACCCCAACUCNNNNNNNNAAAUAGCUUUUUAGAGCUUGAACCGGAUGCUUUAAUGUUUUUACAAAAAAAUGAACCGCCGAUUUAUCCGGUUGGACCGUUGGUGAAUGAAGACUCUACUAAUAAUGGGUUUGGGUUUGAAGUUGAUUUUAAAUGGUUGGAUGAGCAGCCACGUGGAAGUGUUUUAUUUGUGUGUUUUGGUAGCGUUGGGACCCAUUCUAGUGCUCAAACGGAUGAACUAGCUUUUGGAUUGGAAAUGAGUGGCCAAAGAUUCUUAUGGGUUUUGAGAUGUCCUAAUGAUAAAGUUGCAAGUGAUUCUAAUUUCAUUGCUAAUAGUAAUGUUGAUCCUUUUGAUUUUUUACCAAAUGGUUUUAUAGAAAGAACUAAAAAUAGGGGUUUAGUGGUCCCAUAUUGGGCCCCACAAGCACAAAUUUUGAAACACGUAUCAAUUGGGGGAUUUGUGAGUCAUUGUGGUUGGAAUUCAACUCUUGAGAGUUUGGUUAAUGGCGUGCCUUUGAUUGCAUGGCCACUUUAUGCGGAGCAAAAGAUGAAUGCUGUUUUGUUAAGUGAAAAAGUUAAAGUGGCUAUUAGGCCAAAGAUUGGUGAGAAUGGGUUGGUUGAAAGGGAUGAAAUUGCAAGUAUUGUGAAGAGGUUGAUGGUAGGUGAGGAAGAGAAGAAGAUUCGUAAUAGAGUGAAUGAGCUCAAAGUUGCAGCUUCUAAUGCUCUAAAAGAAAAUGGGUCUUCAACAAAGAAGAUAUGUGAAUUGGCUCUCAAAUGGAAAGGGGUAACAAUGCCAAUUUGAAGUUCCCUUUUAUUUAUUAUUCGUUUCUUCAAUUUCUUCGUUUUACUUUUGUCACUAUUUUUGUAAGUUACUUGGUUAUGUCAUUUACUUUGUCAAUAGUAUAAUUUAUUAUUAGAUAAAGAUAUUGGCACCUUCUAAUGCUCUAAAGGAAAAUAGAUCUUCAACAAAGCAAAUAUGUGAAUCGGCUCUCAAAUAUAAAAGUUGCCUUUCGUUUAUUACUUUUUUUCUAAAUUUUUUCGUUUCGAUCGUGAGUUAAGUAAAGUCUGGACAAAAAUUAUUUCUAUUAGAAAUUAAACUCAGAUUAUCUUGAAUGAUUGGUCCUUGAAAAAGCUCAUUAACCACUUGAUUUUGUUCUUUUGUCACCAUCAUGAUCAUCUCUUUGUGUAAGUGUGAGUUAGAAGUUCAACUUUAAAAAAAAAUAUAAAUAAACUUAAUAUUUAGAAUGUGUUUAAUCUGUUAAAAAUUAAGAGAUUGGAUAUGACAACUCUAAUUUUAAUGUGUUUGACUUUAAAAUUGUUGAGACUAGACAAAUUGGAGGUGCAUAUUGCAGCCAGGGAAUUCUCACAUGAUGGCUUUAAAUCUGAAGGCCACGAUAGCACAAAAAGAAAAGAAAAACUAUAGGGGCGCAAUUUGGAUGUAUCUAGAGUUCAUAAAUAGCAUUUUUCACCAAAAAUAAGGAUUACCAUUUUUUAGAAAGAGAAAAAUACGUCCCAAGCAACUCAGAUAGCCGAAUUCAAAGAGUUUCUCACAUAAAAAGUUCUCGUUUUUAGUUCUCGUUUUAUUGUUGAAGGCUAUAACCUAGAGCACCAGAUAGAAACAAAGAGAGGAUUCAAAAAUAAUUCUUAAUCGCGUUUCUCACAUAAAAAAUUCUCGUUUUUAAUUCUUCUUGCUAAUUUAAUUAUUUCCCUUUUACUAUUUUACUCAAUUAAUCAGGAAAAUCCCCCUAAUUUAGUGUUUUAAUUCUAAGUAAUUAUAAAUUGUUUUAUUAAAAUUCACGAUCCCCAUUGAGACAAAUUUAUUUUAUUAUAUGAAUGAUUAAUUUAGUACACUUGUUAAAAACCAUCAUGCCUCACAAAAACACAAAACAAUAUUUUUGUUUCACGUACAAGUUCUCUAAAAAUUAAAUAUCAAAAUGAUUUUUUUUCUUCCAUCAAACAUCCUAUAAAGCAACAAGUUAUAAUUCAAUACUCCAUUCAGUCUCAAUUAUAAGCAGAAGAUUACUUUUUAGACUUACUGAAUAAAUAAUACAUUUUGUCUAUAUUAAUCUAUAUCUAUAUUAUAAACCAGAUAUAUUAGUUAUUCAAUAAAAAGUCAAAUGUUGCUUAUAAUUGAGACAUAAUGAAAUAUCUUACAAUGUCAUAAUACUUUUUGCAUAUCAAACAUACCCCUAAAGUUUUUGAGUGAAAAAAUGUGGUGUUUUAACCCACUUGUGGAUUGGCUCAACUUCUUGUAAUGAAUAUCUUCUUAAUAAUAGUGGUGGGACUGUAUUUUCCAUUAUAAAAUGAUUUUUUUUUGUCAAGUAGUAUAGUGACUAAAAAUUUCACCGUUAAUGUGGAUAAGUGCGAUGGUCGGACACAAAACCCAGACCACUCAUGUCAAUCACCACACAUGUUUUGGGGUGGUGAAAGAUUGUUGGUGUUCCAUAUUGGAUUGAAGAUUGAAUUAAUGAUAAUUAUGAAGUGAAGGGUAUCUAAAUUUAUGCUUGUCUUUUGGUUCGUGCAACGUUACUUUGCUAUUUGAGUUUGGCCCUACGAAACUAGUAGUAUUUAUUGGAGGUGAGAGUGAAUUUGUGGGAGAGUUCAGGCCAACAAAAAAGACUAUGAUGACGAUCUAGGAGGAUUUAUUUUGUAUAUUAUUAUUUUAGUUAGAUUUGAUUUUAUUAUAUUUUAGGUUGAUUUUUUAUUUUUAUAUUUUAUCUAGGUUAGUUAUUUUUAUAUUUUAGGUAGAUUUGUAAGUUUUAUUUAGCUAGGUUUGUUGUUUUUAUUUUUACAAUCUUUUAGGAGAUUUGUUAAUUUUAUUUUUCACUCCUAUUUAAGCUAAAUUAUUGUAGCUUUGAAGGCAACCUUUGGAUUCAAUAAAAAUACAGAGAUUUCUCUCAAGUUUGGUAGAUUCCAAAUUACUCCUUCGGGUGGAUUCCGGAAGUCUAGUGGAUUCUAGAUUAGUUACUAUUUCUGGUAGAUUCUAGAAAUCUGGUGGAUUCCAGAGUCUUAUCUAUCAAGUUUGUCACUUGCAAACAUGUGUUUAUUAUAGAACUAGCGCUUAUUUUUUCUUCACGCUUCCGUACUGCGUCAGAUGAGCAUCACGAGUCCACGACCCCACUAGCAAUUUCUUGCCUUUCCACAAAUCCAUUAAUAUUAAGUUAUUAAACAAGUCUUGCGGCUACGCAAUCAAGGGCUGUAGGAACAAACAACUCCAUUAAUUUAUACCACAAAACCUUUUUCUCUUGUCCUCUCAAUAAAUAGUUUUACAAGUCCGUGAGUUCUAACUAAUUGAUUGGACUAAAAAUUUCNNNNNNNNNNNNNNNNNNNNNNNNNNNNNNNNNNNNNNNNNNNNNNNNNNNNNNNNNCCCACAUUUUCCUAACACCGGACACAAAACCCGGACCACUCAUGUCAAUCACCAUCCUUCGCUCUCUCCCUUCUUUACAUCAAAAUAUCCUCUCUCUCUCAUGACCGUCUCUGCCCUUAUCGUUGACCUCUUUGGCACAGACGUCUUUGACACUAGCGCUGAACUCAACAUCCCAUCAUACCUCUACAUUCCUACUACUGCGAAUAACUUGUCCUUUGCCUGAGCUUAGGGACGGAGCUAGAAGGGGGACCAAUAGAGGCCACGGUCCCCCCUAAAUAUUUUUCAAUAUUUUUUUUAUAUACUACUAUAGUAUUAUAAUAUAUUAUUGGCUUAAUUUUACUUUUGGUCCUCCUAUUUAAUUUUAAUUUUUUUAAAAGGGAUUUCUUAUUUAAUUAAACUCAUAAAAAUGGUCCCUUUUUGUUAUUUAAAUUUUUGGCUCUAUUUUUAUACUUGGUGUAUAUUUGAUCCCAACAUAUGUUUUUCCAACUAAAAAUAGUAUUUUUGUACCAAAAAAUAUGAUUUAUUUCCCCAAUAAUAAAUUCAAUAAAAAAAUACUUUUUGAGAUUAGAACUCGCCUUUUUUGAUGUAAAAAGUCGCUAUUUUGAAGGCAAAGUGAAUAGUUUAAGACCAAAAUUACAAACAAAUAAAAAUAAAGGCCAAAAAAUUCAACUUAAAAAAAAUGGUCUAUAAAAUUCGAUUCACAAUAUAAGCUUUAAAUUUAUCUUAUAACUUCUUAUAUAUAUUGUGCUUUCAAAAUUUAGUUUUUUCUUUACUAACUUAUAUUUUUAAACUCGGCCCCCCUUAAACUAAAUUUCUGGCUUCGUCCCUGCCAAAGCCACUUAACAUUCGUGGAUGUUUUGCGGUUCACAGAAAAGAUAUAGCAGAUCAAGACCGAAACCACGAAGCCUACAAGUUUUUUCUCCACCAUGUGAAAAGAUACAAACUAGCUACGGGAAUUAUAGUAAAUAGUUUUCUAGAACUUGAACCAAAUGCUUUCAUGUUUUUACAAAAGAAUGAACCGACAGUUUAUUCGGUUGGACCAUUGGUGAAUGAAGGCUUUACUAAUAUUGAGUCGGAAUUUGAAUUUGGUUUUAAAUUGAAGAAAUACUUGUAUGGUCCUUAAUAUUUAGUCUCAAUAUAGUCACACACACAUAACAACAUAUAUUAUUUAAUUAUUUUUUCUUUAUACCUUUUUCUCAAUUAAUGUGUGUGACCAAAGAUGAAUGCCCUUUUGUUAAGUGAAAAGGUUAAAGUGGCUAUUAGACCAAAGGUUGGUGAGAAUGGGUUGGUUGAAAGGAAUGAGAUUGCAAGUAUUUUAAUUUGAAGAGGUUGAUGGUAGGUGAGGAAGAGAAGAAGAUUCGUAAUAGAAUGAAUGAGCUCAAAGAUGCAGUGCAGCUUCUAAUGCUUUAAAGGCAGAUGGGUCUUCAACAAAGCAAAUACGUGAAUUGGCUCUCAAAUGGAAAUGUGUAUCAACACCAAAUUGAA